This is a long non-coding RNA of Scylla paramamosain (green mud crab), 1084 nucleotides long. RefSeq lists it as uncharacterized. The transcript is spliced from 2 exons. NCBI's taxonomy places the organism in Eukaryota, Metazoa, Arthropoda, Malacostraca, Decapoda, Portunidae. The record is from RefSeq and is a predicted model, not a curated record.
UCAAAGUCAGUCUUGAACAAAAUCAAAAGCCGACGAGUGUACAAUGAAUACUUGUCUUGUUGCAAAAUAAUACCAGCUGCAGCAGCAGCAACUGCUUGGUUCAGAGCAGACAUCUUGACAAGUGAAAAGAGUAUGUGUACUUCACUCCAGGUGUGAACAGGAAGAGGCAUGCGCAUCCACAGAGGAAGAGAUAUGCAGCUAGAGGAAUGCAUGAGCGUGUUGUAUGCGUAGAGGCACAAGAAGGUGCAUGGCAACCAGGCAUGGCAACCAGGCUCAAGGCAUCAAUGGACCGAAUGAUGGAAGUUAUUAAAAGUACAGCUGGUGAUAGUUUUUAAGCACAAAAACAAGCUAUAAUAGCAAAAUACGAAUGUAAUAAGUUUGAACUGCAUCAGAGAAAUGACACUCCUCAUACUUGUGGAAUGGAGGAGGUUAGAAAUGAAACGGAGGAAACACUGGAGGAGGUGAUCGAGCUUACUUCGAUCACCUUACAGUCUGGAGAAGUCUCGGUGAUUCAUCGCCUGGGGAAUCCCCGAGAUUAUGAUCGUCCUGUCAUCAUUCGAUUUUACCAGAUGAAGAAAAUUAAUCAAAUUAUUAAGAAAAAGGCCGAGCUAAAGGACAUAAAAAUAUUAGUAAAUGAAAACCGGACGAGCUGCUGUGAUAAGAUGGUGAAGGACCAGACAAGAGUGAAAAACAUCACGUCAAGAAACGGGAAAGUGGUGGCCUGGCUGAACGAGGAUCCGAACCAAGAAAGCUAAAGAGAGACACUCUCUAUUUAGCUUCCUUAAUCCGAACCGUGCCAUCGAGAUCAACAUUAAGGACAACAACUGGGCAAGAAGGGAAUCGUGACUGCUGCCUGGAAACGCUGGAAGAUGGAUUAUCUUGUAUGGGGCACUGCAUCAUAGGGACAGAACGAAUGGACCUGCGCACUAAAGCUUUACCAGUGAAUUUCUUCAAGUUCACCACAGUAACUAUUCCCAUGGCAGGUAUUUUAUUCACCAUUAUAUUAUUGACUGAUAUUUCUAUUGUACUGGAUACAACUUAAUUGUCAUAUCAAUAUGUAUCAAAUAAAGCUUUAUGCGUCACA